RNAcentral lists this ribosomal RNA (250 nucleotides) under uncultured bacterium. RNAcentral's name for it is "partial 16S ribosomal RNA". It matches the Rfam family "Bacterial small subunit ribosomal RNA", at positions 524 to 773 of the family's 1533-position model. The record is from RNAcentral.
UACGUAGGGUGCGAGCGUUAAUCGGAAUUACUGGGCGUAAAGCGUGCGCAGGCGGUUUGUUAAGUCCGCUGUGAAAUCCCCGGGCUCAACCUGGGAAUGGCGGUGGAAACUGGCGAGCUAGAGUGUGGCAGAGGGGGGUGGAAUUCCACGUGUAGCAGUGAAAUGCGUAGAGAUGUGGAGGAACACCGAUGGCGAAGGCAGCCCCCUGGGCUAACACUGACGCUCAGGCACGAAAGCGUGGGGAGCAAAC